CCAAUUACCAGAAAGCAUAACCCCAAACCAAACAUCAUCUUCUGCUCAUCACAAGAAAUUGAUCUCUGUAAACCAUGCCCAUGCCGGAUUCCAGAGCUUCACCAAACUUUCUUUCAAUUCAUCUCCCACAGGUAGCCUGCCGCUUUUUUAUAACGGGUUUCGCGGAGAGCUCAGUCGAAGGGGCAUCUGGAAGGUUAACGGCGAUGCAUUGUGCAACAACGCAGAUGAAUUCAGCCUAGCAGUUCCGUUGUGGAAAUUUGCGCGCAAGCCUCGGGGAUGAUUCUUCGAAGCCAUUACAUCUUUCUUGAUGACGGGUGCGAGGAGACGAGGAGUCAGGGGGAAGAUGAGGAGAGUGAUGAGUAUGAAGAAGCGAAUGAGGAAUGGAAAGCGUUUGAACUAUUGAAGACCCAUGUAUUUGCUUCUUCAAUUUGGGUUUUGUGUUUUGAGUAGCACUGUAAAUAAUUCUGGGUUUUCAUGCAUUGUUCUUGAACAUUUUAGCAGACUUGUGUUCUUAGAGUGAAUAUAGACUGUGAUGGGUGAUUGGGUGCAAGCAGAAAGUGAACAAGAAAUUGCAGAAGAUUGAAGCAACAAAGCAGAUCCGGUGACGAAGGGAUGGGGAAGAAGAAAAAGAGAUGCAAAAAGACUAAAAUACCCUCACUAUUUUAACUCUUACAAUUUUUCGAUCACAUUUGGCCGGAAAUUUGACCGGCGUGACCAAAAUUGAUAAAAAAAUGCAUAAUCAAGGUAGCACAUGGAGUGUUGAAAUAAUAGUUGCUAUAAGAUCGCAUCUCAUCUUUGUCCUGCAAUGAACCACCUCUACGGAUACAAGAGAAAUCGACGACUAAAGGAGAUGAAGAAAAUCAUAAACUCGAAAAAAGUGAUUAGACGAAAAUGCGCUUGCUGAAACGGAUUUUCAUUGAAAGCUUCACCGGAAUGACCAAAAGUGUCUAAAAUAUAAUAGUCUAGAGUUUUAAAUGGUAAAAAUGAUAGCAUGAGACUAAAUAUGAAAAAUGCCACAAAAGAUAAUGGAUGGCCGUUAAAAUGAACUCUUUCCACAAAAAAUGCCCCGAUGGCCGCCUAGGCGCGA
Molecule: long non-coding RNA, 1087 nt
Organism: Ipomoea triloba (trilobed morning glory)
Lineage: Eukaryota; Viridiplantae; Streptophyta; Magnoliopsida; Solanales; Convolvulaceae
Exons: 3
Source: RefSeq, a predicted model, not a curated record